Molecule: long non-coding RNA, 240 nt
Filed under: Nicotiana benthamiana
Lineage: Eukaryota; Viridiplantae; Streptophyta; Magnoliopsida; Solanales; Solanaceae
Description: long non-coding RNA (NBEN_LNC033707)
Source: RNAcentral
GUAUAACAACCAAAAUUCUAAAAUAGUCCACAUAAAUAACACGUACCAAUUACUCAUACACCAAACAGGCUGGCGAUACAAAUGUUAAUGUUAGCCAUACAUACCUGGAGUCAAAUUUCCUUUUUUUAACUCUUACUUUCAAUUCACCAAACUGCCUAGCACUGUCAAUCUGGUUUACAAGUUACACAUAUAUCUUAGAAUUGAAAUUUCAAAAUACAACCCGAACUCACUUAGAUGAUC